This 253-nucleotide ribosomal RNA is filed under the name uncultured bacterium. RNAcentral describes it as "partial 16S ribosomal RNA". It matches the Rfam family "Bacterial small subunit ribosomal RNA", at positions 524 to 776 of the family's 1533-position model. The record is from RNAcentral.
UACGUAGGGACCGAGCGUUAUCCGGAUUCAUUGGGCGUAAAGAGCUCGUAGGCGGCUAUUCAAGUCGAACGUGAAAUCUCGGGGCUCAACUCCGAGCCUGCGUUCGAUACUGGGUAGCUAGAGUCUGGUAGGGGGAUCUGGAAUUCCUGGUGUAGCGGUGGAAUGCGCAGAUAUCAGGAGGAACACCGGUGGCGAAGGCGGCAUCCUGGACCGACACUGACGCUGAGGAGCGAAAGCCAGGGGAGCAAACGGG